UACGUAGGGUGCGAGCGUUAAUCGGAAUUACUGGGCGUAAAGCGUGCGCAGGCGGUUAUUUAAGACAGAUGUGAAAUCCCAGGGCUCAACCUGGGAACUGCAUUUGAUACUGGCAGACUAGAGUAUGGUAGAGGGGGGUAGAAUUCCUGGUGUAGCGGUGAAACGCGUAGAUAUCAGGAGGAAUACCAGUGGCGAAGGCGACCCCCUGGGCCAAUACUGACGCUGAGGUACGAAAGCGUGGGUAGCGAACAGG
This 253-nucleotide ribosomal RNA is filed under the name uncultured bacterium. RNAcentral's name for it is "partial 16S ribosomal RNA". It matches the Rfam family "Bacterial small subunit ribosomal RNA", at positions 524 to 776 of the family's 1533-position model. The record is from RNAcentral.